AUUUGUUUUGCUUAUUGUAUAAAUCAAAAUAAUUAAUGGUGCUCUGUGUAAAAAUUGCAGAGUCUCGCUACUAUAUAGGUGAUACGCUUUAGCCUUUCUUUCCAUUUACUUUGAGCAAUAACAGCCAUGGCUUCAGUGUUCACAUGGUCAGAUAGUCUUUCCAUAUGAGACUUUAUAUUUUUUGAUUGAUGCUGCAACUAAGUCAAUUCCGAGAUCGCGUUCAAGAUCGUACCAAGGCGCAUUAACGGCGCAUCUUAAAACUUUGUUUUGGAAUCGCUGAAUUUGUACAACAGUACAACUAGGGCUUGAGCAGCCCCAAAGUUGUAUCCCAUAAGUCCAAACUGGUCUGAACACCUGCUUUUAGAUUAUAAUCUUGUGGUAUGUAGAUAAGGCAGAGCUUCUAUCCAAUAACCAAUAUAUGUUUCUGAAUUUUAAUUAUAAUUCUUCUUUUUUAUUUUAGACAUGUAUUGUGAUAUGGUAUUUCCGUAUCAUUUAAGUACAGACGCAUAUAUCUAGUAUUGCUGUAUGUGAAAUCAAUAUGUACUGUUUUAGUUACGUUUAAUUUUAUUUGCCAAUUAGCUGUCCAUUCAAAUAUGUUGUUUAAAUCUUGCAAUUGAUGCAGUUUGUGUUUUGCAAAGGUUAUUGUAAUACAAUUGUCAUCGUAUGGAAGAUCGCAUGUAAAGAGUAGGUAAAGGAUGGGUCCUAGCACAUUACCCUGAGGAACACCAGCUUUUAUUUCCUUUAAAUCAGAGUACAUAUCUCCAUGUUAAAUUCGAAAAAAACGGUCCGAAAGGUAUAAUUUUAAAAUGUUGUAAUAUUUUUUUGGUAAAAGCAUUUUAAUUUUGUUUACAAGCCCGCCACGGCAAACUUCAUCAAAGGCUUUAAAACGCAGACGACCGAGCAAACUUUUUUUCUUUAAAGGCAUUUUCAAAGACUUGAGUUAUUCUACUUGGCCAACAGUGGAGUGAUUUUUGCGAAAGCCAUACUGAUGCACCGGUAUCAGUUUCCUCUCUUCAAUUAUGUUGUUAAGACGCACAGUAAGCAUUUGUUCCAAAAAUUUUCAAAGUAUUGGCAGGAGAGAUAUGGGCCCUUAUGAAGUAAUGUCAUGCACUGGCUUAUCAGGUUUAUUGAACAUAAUAAUCUCUGCAGUUUAGCAGUAAAUAGAUACGUAUUGUAGAUUAAUAGUAGCAUUCAUUAUAGCAGUAAGUUUACUUAUGUAUAACAUUUUGAGGAAGCUCGUUUAGUAUUUAGCUGGUAACCAGAUGAUUUUUUAGACUUCAGUUUUUUUAUUUCGUUAGGUUCCCUUUCUGCUUCAUUGGAUGUGUCAUAUGGUUUAAAGACAUCUUCUGAAAAAAACAUUUGCUUCCACUAUACCGCUUUUGGCCCAUGUCUGGUCUGCUAUUCUGAUGGAAUGAUGCUGAGUUCGGGUCGAGAUGAUAUACUUAUGACCUGCGGAGAAUGACCCGUCAGCAUACUAGGCUACAACUUGCAACAAAAUAGAUCGGAUCCCGCUAAUAGUCAUUUGGAAAUCUAAAGGCAAGGAAUAUGAGAAGACGUCAAUAAGUUUCCCCCGGUACACUCGUAAAAGGACAAGAGUAACGUCAACGUCGAGCUGCUAAUAUCACAGGAAACACGAUGUUGUACCAUUAGACUAGAUUAGUAAGGUUCAUUAUACAUAAUUUUUGAUUGUGCACAUAUUGGCAAUGAAUCUGUUAAAAUUUCGAAGAAAAAUUUGAAGAGUAGGCACAUUUAUUUCCUCGGUAUAUCCACGGAUCCACGGAUGUUGUUGUUAACCUAGCUGUGUAGCUUUUAUCAAAGUUACCAGCAGAAGAAGCGCCAAAGCAUUUUUAUUAAUGAAUAUGACCCAAUACAGGACAUGUCUAUACCGCAGCAGGUGGUGAAGAUUGCAAAAAAAGUUGGACCAGGCGUAGGUGCCUUCAGGAAGUAUUCGCCAAUAAGACUAAAAAGGGGUGAAAGUCAUGGACACUUGUGAAAGUGACAAACCAGUAGACGGAGAUCAAGCUCGAAAGAACUAGAGGACAAAAAAAUUGCGUUUUUUUAUUUUAGUGCCAUUGUAACUAGUUAUCAUAUAAUAAACUAACGAACAAUUUGUUUUGCUUAUUGUAUAAUUCAAAAUAAUUAAUGGUGCUCUGUGUAAAAAUUGCAGUCUCGCUACUAUAUAGGUGACACGCUUUAGCCUUUCUUUCCAUUUACUUUGAGCGAUAACAUCCAUGGCUUCAGUGUUCACAUGGUCAGAUAGU
Long non-coding RNA from Bactrocera neohumeralis, 2261 nucleotides. RefSeq lists it as uncharacterized. The record is from RefSeq and is a predicted model, not a curated record. Lineage: Eukaryota; Metazoa; Arthropoda; Insecta; Diptera; Tephritidae. The transcript has 4 exons.